UUGGAUUAGCUAGUUGGUGGGGUAAAGGCCUACCAAGGCGACGAUCCAUAGCUGGUCUGAGAGGAUGAUCAGCCACAUUGGGACUGAGACACGGCCCAAACUCCUACGGGAGGCAGCAGUGGGGAAUAUUGGACAAUGGGCGCAAGCCUGAUCCAGCCAUGCCGCGUGAGUGAUGAAGGCCUUAGGGUUGUAAAGCUCUUUCACCGAUGAAGAUAAUGACGGUAGUCGGAGAAGAAGCCCCGGCUAACUUCGUGCCAGCAGCCGCGGUAAUACGAAGGGGGCUAGCGUUGUUCGGAAUUACUGGGCGUAAAGCGCACGUAGGCGGAUAUUUAAGUCAGGGGUGAAAUCCCGCAGCUCAACUGCGGAACUGCCUUUGAUACUGGGUAUCUUGAGUAUGGAAGAGGUCAGUGGAAUUGCGAGUGUAGAGGUGAAAUUCGUAGAUAUUCGCAGGAACACCAGUGGCGAAGGCGGCUGACUGGU
Molecule: ribosomal RNA, 480 nt
Filed under: uncultured bacterium
Lineage: Bacteria
Description: bacterial SSU rRNA
Rfam family: Bacterial small subunit ribosomal RNA
Source: RNAcentral